Molecule: ribosomal RNA, 507 nt
Filed under: uncultured bacterium
Lineage: Bacteria
Description: bacterial SSU rRNA
Rfam family: Bacterial small subunit ribosomal RNA
Source: RNAcentral
GAUCAUGGCUCAGGAUGAACGCUGGCGGCGUGCCUAACACAUGCAAGUCGAACGGGGUUAAGGAAAGUUUCGGAUGGACCUUAACUAGUGGCGGACGGGUGAGUAACGCGUGGAUAACCUGCCUCACACAGGGGGAUAGCAGCUGGAAACGGCUGGUAAUACCGCAUAAGACCACAGUGCCGCAUGGCACAGGGGUAAAAGAUUUAUCGGUGUGAGAUGGAUCCGCGUCUGAUUAGCCAGUUGGCGGGUAACGGCCCACCAAAGCGACGAUCAGUAGCCGGCCUGAGAGGGUGAACGGCCACAUUGGGACUGAGACACGGCCCAAACUCCUACGGGAGGCAGCAGUGGGGAAUAUUGCACAAUGGGCGCAAGCCUGAUGCAGCAACGCCCGCGUGAGUGAAGAAGUAUUUCGGUAUGUAAAGCUCUAUCGGCAGGGAAGAAAGGCCCAUUAAGGGAGAUGACGGUACCUGACUAAGAAGCCCCGGCUAACUACGUGCCAGCCGCCGC